AUAAAAUUAUCUCCGAACGGCUUGAACUCCGGAAUUCCGGUUUUGGCAUAACUCCGGAGCUUCGAAAGGUUAGAGAUUCGUUUGUAAAAUCGGAGUUAUCGUGAACAUAACCGGAGUUUCGAUUUUCAUAUUUUUAGAAAAAUGACGAGCUUUUUCAGCGUUUACAUAUACAUUACAGGGUCUAAAUUAUACAUAUGAAAUAGGAUAAAACUUAUCCAAUUUUAUCGAUGGAAAACAUAACAAAAAAUCUUAUUAUAAUUAAUUUUACCAGG
Maniola jurtina (meadow brown) is the source of this 272-nucleotide long non-coding RNA. RefSeq lists it as uncharacterized. Lineage: Eukaryota; Metazoa; Arthropoda; Insecta; Lepidoptera; Nymphalidae. The record is from RefSeq and is a predicted model, not a curated record. The transcript is spliced from 3 exons.